Molecule: ribosomal RNA, 730 nt
Filed under: uncultured bacterium
Lineage: Bacteria
Description: bacterial SSU rRNA
Rfam family: Bacterial small subunit ribosomal RNA
Source: RNAcentral
ACCAGGAUUAGAUACCCUGGUAGUCCAUGCCGUAAACGAUGUCUACUAGCCGUUGGGGCCUUUGAGGCUUUAGUGGCGCAGCUAACGCGAUAAGUAGACCGCCUGGGGAGUACGGUCGCAAGACUAAAACUCAAAUGAAUUGACGGGGGCCCGCACAAGCGGUGGAGCAUGUGGUUUAAUUCGAUGCAACGCGAAGAACCUUACCUGGUCUUGACAUAGUAAGAACUUUCCAGAGAUGGAUUGGUGCCUUCGGGAACUUACAUACAGGUGCUGCAUGGCCGUCGUCAGCUCGUGUCGUGAGAUGUUGGGUUAAGUCCCGCAACGAGCGCAACCCUUUUCCUUAUUUGCCAGCACUUCGGGUGGGAACUUUAAGGAUACUGCCAGUGACAAACUGGAGGAAGGCGGGGACGACGUCAAGUCAUCAUGGCCCUUACGACCAGGGCUACACACGUGCUACAAUGGUCGGUACAAAGGGUUGCUACCUAGCGAUAGGAUGCUAAUCUCAAAAAGCCGAUCGUAGUUCAGAUUGGAGUCUGCAACUCGACUCCAUGAAGUCGGAAUCGCUAGUAAUCGCGGAUCAGAAUGCCGCGGUGAAUACGUUCCCGGGCCUUGUACACACCGCCCGUCACACCAUGGGAGUUUGUUGCACCAGAAGUAGGUAGUCUAACCGUAAGGAGGACGCUUACCACGGUGUGGCCGAUGACUGGGGUGAAGUCGUAACAAGGUAACC